RNAcentral lists this ribosomal RNA (430 nucleotides) under uncultured bacterium. RNAcentral describes it as "bacterial SSU rRNA". It matches the Rfam family "Bacterial small subunit ribosomal RNA", at positions 354 to 776 of the family's 1533-position model. The record is from RNAcentral.
GUCGAGAAUCUUUCGCAAUGGGCGAAAGCCUGACGAAGCGACGCCGUGUGAGCGAAGAAGGCCUUCGGGUUGUAAAGUUCUUUCGCUAGGGAACAAGAAAGGGAAGCAAAUAGUUUCCCGAUUUGAGGGUACCUGGUAAAGAAGCACCGGCUAACUCCGUGCCAGCAGCUGCGGUAAUACGGAGGGUGCAAGCAUUAAUCGGAAUUAUUGGGCGUAAAGGGCGCGUAGGCGGAUUUGUAAGUCAGAUGUGAAAUACCGAGGCUUAACCUCGGUGCUGCAUUUGAAACUACAAGUCUUGAGGGUAGACGGAGAAAACGGAAUUCCACAUGUAGCGGUGAAAUGCGUGGAUAUGUGGAAGAACACCUGUGGCGAAAGCGGUUUUCUAGUUUAUUCCUGACGCUGAGGCGCGAGAGCAAGGGGAGCAAACAGG